AGUGAACGCUGGCGGUAGGCCUAACACAUGCAAGUCGAACGGCAGCACAGUAAGAGCUUGCUCUUACGGGUGGCGAGUGGCGGACGGGUGAGGAAUACAUCGGAAUCUACUUUUUCGUGGGGGAUAACGUAGGGAAACUUACGCUAAUACCGCAUACGACCUACGGGUGAAAGCAGGGGAUCUUCGGACCUUGCGCGAUUGAAUGAGCCGAUGUCGGAUUAGCUAGUUGGCGGGGUAAAGGCCCACCAAGGCGACGAUCCGUAGCUGGUCUGUGAGGAUGAUCAGCCACACUGGAACUGAGACACGGUCCAGACUCCUACGGGAGGCAGCAGUGGGGAAUAUUGGGCAAUGGGCGCAAGCCUGAUCCAGCCAUACCGCGUGGGUGAAGAAGGCCUUCGGGUUGUAAAGCCCUUUUGUUGGGAAAGAAAAGCAGCAGGUUAAUACCCCGCUGUUCUGACGGUACCCAAAGAAUAAGCACCGGCUAACUUCGUG
RNAcentral lists this ribosomal RNA (492 nucleotides) under uncultured bacterium. RNAcentral's name for it is "partial 16S ribosomal RNA". It matches the Rfam family "Bacterial small subunit ribosomal RNA", at positions 29 to 507 of the family's 1533-position model. The record is from RNAcentral.